GAUGAACGCUAGCUACAGGCUUAACACAUGCAAGUCGAGGGGCAGCAUGACGAUAGUUUGCUAUUGUUGAUGGCGACCGGCGCACGGGUGAGUAACGCGUAUCCAACCUUCCCGUUGCUAGGGGAUAACCUUGCGAAAGUAAGACUAAUACCCUAUGAAGUUCUUCGCAGGCAUCUAAAGAGAACGAAAGAUUUAUCGGCAACGGAUGGGGAUGCGUCUGAUUAGGUUGUUGGCGGGGUAACGGCCCACCAAGCCCACGAUCAGUAGGGGUUCUGAGAGGAAGGUCCCCCACAUUGGAACUGAGACACGGUCCAAACUCCUACGGGAGGCAGCAGUGAGGAAUAUUGGUCAAUGGACGGAAGUCUGAACCAGCCAAGUAGCGUGCAGGAUGACGGCCCUAUGGGUUGUAAACUGCUUUUAUGUGGGAAUAAAGUGAGGGACGUGUCCCUUUUUGUAGGUACCACAUGAAUAAGGACCGGCUAAUUCCGUG
RNAcentral lists this ribosomal RNA (490 nucleotides) under uncultured bacterium. RNAcentral describes it as "bacterial SSU rRNA". It matches the Rfam family "Bacterial small subunit ribosomal RNA", at positions 28 to 507 of the family's 1533-position model. The record is from RNAcentral.